Molecule: long non-coding RNA, 624 nt
Filed under: Astyanax mexicanus (Mexican tetra)
Lineage: Eukaryota; Metazoa; Chordata; Actinopteri; Characiformes; Acestrorhamphidae
Description: lncRNA (ENSAMXG00005008759.1)
Source: RNAcentral
GGAGAAAUGUUUUCAGUAGUUAAUAGAAUAAAACAAAAUUUUUAAUUUAACUCAUUGUUAUUUUUUAGGGCCAUAUCGCCCAGCACUACUAUGCAGAGCAUGUAUAUUUUAUGUAUAUUUGUUUUUUUUUUUAUGUUCUGUGAGCUGAUGCUGUUUCUGUUUAUAUAUUUUUUAGUAGAGGAUGAAGAAGUGCCGGAGCAUGUCUACGCCUCCAUUGAUUAUAAGAUUUCUGAUAAAGCAGAAACAGGUGGAUGUCGGAGGCAGAAGGAGCAGGAAGAUAUAUAUUACCUCGCCACUCAUCCAGACCCAGCUCCCACAGGUCUUCUAAAUGAUCCCACAUAUUCAUUGAUCCAGAAUCCGGUCAACACACAGCACAAAGCUGAUCCUGAUGGAGAAGGGCUGUACAGUCUGGCUCAGAGACCGACCUCAACAGCAGAAGAUCCACAAACAUCUAAAACUGAUUCUUAAUCUGAAAAAUCUUCUCCACAGCUGGACUCUUCCGUUAAUGCGAUUACCACUCUGUGGAUUACUGUGCUGCAGCUAGCUGUUGUUAAAUAUUAUGUAUUUGUAUUUAAUAUAUUAUUGCUUAAGAAAAUAUGGAAAAUUAUUUUACAAUAAAAUGAG